Molecule: ribosomal RNA, 239 nt
Filed under: uncultured Funneliformis
Lineage: Eukaryota; Fungi; Glomeromycota; Glomeromycetes; Glomerales; Glomeraceae
Description: partial small subunit ribosomal RNA
Rfam family: Eukaryotic small subunit ribosomal RNA
Source: RNAcentral
GGAUCAAUGUUUCGGUCAUGCCGUUGGUAUGUACUGAUAUUAUUGGUUUCUCACCUUCUAAAGAACCGUAAUGCCAUUAAUUUGGUGUCACGGGGAAUUAGGACUGUUACCUUGAAAAAAUUAGAGUGUUUAAAGCAGGCUCACGCUUGAAUACAUUAGCAUGGAAUAAUGAAAUAGGACAUCGCAUUCUAUUUUGUUGGUUUCUAGGAUCGAUGUAAUGAUUAAUAGGGAUAGUUGGG